RNAcentral lists this long non-coding RNA (442 nucleotides) under Gossypium barbadense (sea-island cotton). RNAcentral describes it as "long non-coding RNA (GBAR_LNC022055)". The record is from RNAcentral. Lineage: Eukaryota; Viridiplantae; Streptophyta; Magnoliopsida; Malvales; Malvaceae.
AUUGAUUCUUGGUGGGAAGAGUAGAGUGAGCGAAUCGGAUAACGGGUCGGCACAUGAAUCGAAACCCGAAAAUCGAACGAAGAAAGCUUUGAUCUUCAGAAGACUUUGAUCGCCGGAACGAAAGUCGUAAUAAUCCUCAGAUCUUCACAUAAUUUUGUAGUUCCUUUUGGAAUGAAGAUGACUUUUAAUGGAUUCAUAUUCAUAUAUGAAUAUAGAAAUGGGAUUUAGUCGGCGCCGCCGGAAGAGGAGACGUCGGUUUUGGAGAGUGAAACGAGUGGAAAGCACACGGUAUUUGGUGUUGACGUGGAGAAGAAGACAAAAAGAUCUGCGGCUUGUCGGAUUAGACUAGAGUUGCAGACCUGACUUUUGGUGGAGUUAAUUAUCUAGUACUUUGCGCAGUAGAGAAAGAAAAUGGUUCUUUGGUUUGAUGAGAAUGGACGGU